This 120-nucleotide microRNA precursor is filed under the name Marmota monax (woodchuck). Lineage: Eukaryota; Metazoa; Chordata; Mammalia; Rodentia; Sciuridae. The record is from RNAcentral.
AUUAAAGUUCUCNAUGGUUGUGUUGUCAGGAUGCUUGGGUGUGUAUAUAAAUAUAUAUAUAUAUAUAUAUAUAUAUAUAUACACACACCCAAGCAUCCUGACAACACAACCAUGCUCAAC